CCAAUAGCGUAUAUUAAAGUUGCUGCAGUUAAAAAGCUCGUAGUUGAAUUUCGGGACCAAUAUGUCGGUCGUGCCUCGGUACGUACUGGCAUCGUUGGUUUCUCCCUUCUGACAAACCAUGAUGUCAUUUAUUUGGUGUCGUGGGGAAUCAGGACUGUUACUUUGAAAAAAUUAGAGUGUUUAAAGCAGGCUCACGCUUGAAUACAUUAGCAUGGAAUAAUGAAAUAGGACGUUUGAUUCUAUUUUGUUGGUUUCUAGGAUCGACGUAAUGAUUAAUAGGGAUAGUUGGGGGCAUUAGUAUUCAAUUGUCAGAGGUGAAAUUCUUGGAUUUAUUGAAGACUAACUACUGCGAAAGCAUUUGCCAAGGAUGUUUUCAUUAAUCAAGAACGAAAGUUAGGGGAUCGAAGACGAUCAGAUACCGUCGUAGUCUUAACCAUAAACUAUGCCGACUAGGGAUCGGAUGAUGUUAAUUUUUUAAUGACUCAUUCGGCGCCUUACG
RNAcentral lists this ribosomal RNA (499 nucleotides) under uncultured Glomeromycotina. Its description in RNAcentral is "partial small subunit ribosomal RNA". It matches the Rfam family "Eukaryotic small subunit ribosomal RNA", at positions 591 to 1092 of the family's 1831-position model. The record is from RNAcentral. Lineage: Eukaryota; Fungi; Glomeromycota.